RNAcentral lists this ribosomal RNA (102 nucleotides) under uncultured eukaryote. RNAcentral's name for it is "partial small subunit ribosomal RNA". The record is from RNAcentral.
UCGCACCUACCGAUUGAAUGGUCCGGUGAAUCUUUCGGACUGCGCGCAGCUUCGUGCCGUGUCGCGGAAAGUCAGGUAAACCUAAUCACUUAGAGGAAGGAC